This 600-nucleotide ribosomal RNA is filed under the name Microbacterium schleiferi. RNAcentral's name for it is "bacterial SSU rRNA". It matches the Rfam family "Bacterial small subunit ribosomal RNA", at positions 83 to 697 of the family's 1533-position model. The record is from RNAcentral. Lineage: Bacteria; Bacillati; Actinomycetota; Actinomycetes; Micrococcales; Microbacteriaceae.
CUCUGUGGAUCAGUGGCGAACGGGUGAGUAACACGUGAGCAAUCUGCCCCUGACUCUGGGAUAAGCGCUGGAAACGGCGUCUAAUACCGGAUACGAGCUGCGAAGGCAUCUUCAGCAGCUGGAAAGAAUUUCGGUCAGGGAUGAGCUCGCGGCCUAUCAGCUUGUUGGUGAGGUAACGGCUCACCAAGGCGUCGACGGGUAGCCGGCCUGAGAGGGUGACCGGCCACACUGGGACUGAGACACGGCCCAGACUCCUACGGGAGGCAGCAGUGGGGAAUAUUGCACAAUGGGCGAAAGCCUGAUGCAGCAACGCCGCGUGAGGGACGACGGCCUUCGGGUUGUAAACCUCUUUUAGCAGGAAAGAAGCGAAAGUGACGGUACCUGCAGAAAAAGCGCCGGCUAACUACGUGCCAGCAGCCGCGGUAAUACGUAGGGCGCAAGCGUUAUCCGGAAUUAUUGGGCGUAAAGAGCUCGUAGGCGGUCUGUCGCGUCUGCUGUGAAAACCCGAGGCUCAACCUCGGGCCUGCAGUGGGUACGGGCAGACUAGAGUGCGGUAGGGGAGAUUGGAAUUCCUGGUGUAGCGGUGGAAUGCGCAGAUAU